UUGAGAAUAUGUCUUCAGUUCCUUAUUUU
RNAcentral lists this non-coding RNA (29 nucleotides) under Mus musculus (house mouse). RNAcentral also lists the same sequence under 1 other name. Lineage: Eukaryota; Metazoa; Chordata; Mammalia; Rodentia; Muridae. The record is from RNAcentral.